CUCUACUGGGACGUCAUGCAGGAGAACUACGAGACGGUGACCUUGCUGGGAUUUCCCCUUGCCAAACCUGAACUUAUCGCCCGCCUGGAGCAAGGGGAAGAGCCGUGGGUGCCCGAUCUCCAGGCCUGCGAGGAAAGAAGGCUUCCAAGAUGCCCCCAUACAGCAGGUGCUGAGCGAGGGAAUGAGAAUGAGGAGGAGAAUCAUCAUCAGGAAGUUCCUGGAGAAGUGCAACCCCAGGCGACCUUUGUGGGAGGAGCUGAAGGGAAAUGUUUCAGUCCAAAGUCAGCACAAAAGUCACUUAAGAAAAGCCACACAGGAGAGAGACCCCACAAGUGCUUUGAUUGUGGGAAAAGUUUCACACAAAGGUCAGACCUUGAUAAACAUCAGGCAAUCCACACAGGAGAGAGAACCCACAAGUGCUUGGACUGUGUGAAAAGUUUCAUAUAGAGAUCACACCUCAUUAAACAUGAGAGAAUCCACACAAGAUCUAAACUUCUGUGACACAUGACAAAAAGGGUUAAGCAGCUUCCAUGUAAUUGACUGAAAUCAGGCCUUGUUACACAUCAGGGAAAACUAAAUCCUCAGUACCACUUCCAGGGCUGGCUCCAGGCACCAGACGAGGAAGCACGUGCCUUGGGGGCGGCACUCUUCAAAGUAAUCUUAUUGAGAGCGGCAACAGUUCCUCAGUACCUCUCUGCAUUUGAUUUUGUUACAAAAUCAAUAAGUUCAGAUGGCAUGAGCCCCAGAGGGACAGAUGGUUCCACAGGCAGUCCUCCUUCGAUACCCCAUUAGAGAUUUCAGAAGGUCUCUUACCUCUUGAUUGGCGCCUUGGGGUUCGAAGGGGAACAGUCCGCAGUAGCUGCCGCGGGCUGAGCCUGGCGUUACCAUCCGAGUCACGGCAUCAAUAAUUGCGGAAGAAAACAGAGUUUUUACUUUAAGGUUGGUUGUAACAAAUCAGAGACAGUUUAUUCUUAAGCAAUUGCAAGAGAGGAACUGCACACCCAGGCAGGGAAUCUCUCUUACUCCAGGUAGGGCUCCAAAGAUAAACAGUUGGAGCAAGACUUUCUACCUUUUUUUUUAAUCGACAAUAAUGAUUAUACAUGAACAACCUUGCCACUUGCUGAAACCAGAAAAUUGGAUCUACAUAAAGGUCCAUCAGCGAAAGACCACCCUGGCUCCACGCUGGAAAGGACCUUAUCAAGUCCUGCUGAUUACCAACACCACUGUAAAAUGCCAAGAACUGACUGCCUGGACCCGUGCUUCUCACUGCAAAAAGGCCUCUCCACCUCAAGAGGACUUUACGACUGAUGAUCAGCCUGUUUCUCCUCCUGAUGCCGCUGUUUUUUUUGGGCAGCAGGAAAAAAGGACAAGAUAAAGUGCUACUAACCUCUCCCUUGUCCACUGACAGAACUACCAUGCAUUUGGCUUGUGCUAAAAAACCUAAAGCAUUACAGGGUGAUGUGCUAGUAACCUCUCCCCUGCAAAAUGCUAAACCACCACUGUGCCAAGAAAGAAGUAGGAACACUUGCUCUACUGAAACCACCAAAGCCCAGGGACUUCUGACCACAAAGAACAUUAAAAACUGGCACUGGUGGGAAAAAAAACAAAAUGUUGUAUACUAGCAAGAAGGAAAUUAUGGGGACGAGUCUUGGAAGUGAAGUAUUCAUUGGACUUUGGGGUUUAUUCCAAGUAAUGCAUGCUGUGCUUUUGGACAAGUACCUUCAGCAUGUAUAGUGUUGUUCAAACAAACCCACACAGGAUCGUUUUAGGGGUCAAGACAAAGAUGCCACAUUUAUUAUUGAUGUAUAACUAUUAGCAAAUACCUUAAUACUUCUACAGAUCCACUCUCACACACACACACACACACACCAAAAUGUUCUGCAGCUGCUGGAUAGUUACCAGUCCUGAUUGAGUUUGCAGCUUGGGAUCGUAGCUCGUGGCAGCUAACUGGCCAGGAAAGCUGAGCACGAGGAGGAGCCGGGUCUCUGUCGGGCGCGCACCGAUGCUCCUUGAUGUUGAUAGCAGAAUGUUAAGCAAAGUCUCUCAUCUCACCCUUCCUUUUUAUAGGCUUUUAGUUUGGAUUCAAAGUCUCUAGGUCUCGCUGUGUCACGCCGCCUCUGGGUUUGGUGCUUGAUCACCCGUCAAUUGCAGGUGUGACUGUCAGCCUGGGACCUGGCUUUGAUCUUCCUUCUGUUGUUUCUUUCUUUUUUUAGGGCGGAUGCUUCUUGCUUGAGUUAGGGCUGUUGUCUAGUUCUUCAGCCGUUGGCAUUUGAACUUUAUUUCAUCAGGACGGGCUGGUCCUGGAGGUUGAUUCUGUCACCUAUACAUACCUAAUUCACACAUCUCAACUAGACUAAUAAAAUUACAGUAUGGCUUGCAAAAAUGGAGGCUGUAGCACAUGCCUUCCACAAAAUGCAGUAAGCAUUUUAAAAUGGGUUUUGAAUUACAAUAUUGCACAGAAGUUUACAAUGUAGGCAAAAUGGCAAGUGUAAUUAAAUGGUGAACAGGAGUUACAAUGAUCCAGUGAAGAACUAAAAACCUGCUGACUACCAACACCGCUGUAAAAUGCCAAGAACUGACUGCCUGGACCCGUGCUUCUCACUGCAAAAAGGCCUCUCCACCUCAAGAGGACUUUACGACUGAUGAUCAGCCUGUUUCUCCUUCUGGUGCUGCUGUUUCUUUUGGGCAGCAGAAAAAAAGGAUAAGAUAAAGUGCUAGUAACCUCUCCCUUGUCUACUGACAGAACUACCAUGCAUUUGAUUUGUGCUAAAAAACCUAAAGCAUUACAGGGUGAUGUGCUAGUAACCUCUCCCCUGCAAAAUGCUAAACCACCACUGUGCCAAGAAGUAGGAAUACUUACUCUACUGAAACCACCAAAGCCCAGGGUUUUCUGACCACAAAGAACAUUAAAAACUGGCACUGGUGGGAAAAAAUAACAAAAUAUUGUAUACUAGCAAGAAGGAAAUUAUGGGGACGAGUCUUGGAAAUGUGAUAUUCAUUGGACUUUGGGGUUUAUUCCAAGUAAUGCAUGCUGUGCUUUUGGACAAGUACCUUCAGCAUGUAUAGCACUCCCCAGUUGGCUUUCAGAUGAUGAAUACCAAAGGCAUUUUGCUGCCACAAAUGCUACUCCUACCAUCUCCCCCACCACCACUACUUCCCCUGUAAUAUACCCAAAUACAAAUAUAUUCUAAUGAAAUACAGUGGCCAAAGCCUUCACGUCUUAGUGAUUUACUAAAAUUCUGCUCAAAAAAAUUGAUUCUUUAAAAUUCAAAAUCAGUCAUAUAAGCAAACAAGUAAAAAAACAAAUGGGUCAAUAAAAAUAGAAAUCUAGACUAUCACUACAAAUAAGCCCCCAAAAUCUAAAAUUAAUGUGUUCUAUUGCAAGGUAAAUAUAAUGGCCGUUCCCGAAAUGUAUAGCAUGUGAAAUGAAAAAGUCCCUUAUUUUUACUUAGUCACCCAACUAGGGUAAAUAAUCAAACGUAUACCCGAAAAGUCUGUUCUGCCACCGGAAAUUUUACCUGUACUAAAAUAAUCCCAGUAACCAAUAAUUUAACCUGCACCAUAUUGCAAUAUAUCCCUUCCCAUGCUAUUAAUGCUAAUGCCUCCCAAAAGUAUCUAAAAGUGUUUAGCCAAUAAAUGUGGUAUGGUACUUCACCUAAAAAAAAAAAAGAGAAAGCUAAAUUAUGCUCGGGACUAUAAAUGUACACUGCCCGUCUCCAGUUUUCAGGUCACCUCUAUAUAUUCUAAUUGCUGAAAAGGAACUGCCAUUAGGUUAGCACAGCAAAGGGCCUGGGUUUCCUCUAAAAAGAAAAAAAGAAGGGGGGGACUUCACUAAUCACCUAUAAAAUGGUGCCAGUAGCACAGCUGCAAUUUGGAAUAUCUAUAAAGGCCAACAACAUAAAUAAAUUGGAAAAGGCCACGGGUCUUCUCUCUGGAGCACAGCUAACCCAGGUACAGGCUGAAUUACGUGUUAUCUCUGCCCUGAGGUCAAUGACCCAGAUACUUCUGAUGACGAUGGUGCUAAAUAUCACUGAGGCUGGGAAGGCACUGUGGUGAGAUCUGGCUUGUUCAGAAGUUCAGGAUUUCCUGAAUGACCAGCUCAUGGCCAUUCAGAGUGAUCUGGAGGAUCAGGCUUUGCCUACAGCUCUUACAGACACUUCAGGAGUACCAUCUGAUCCAUGGCCGUAAAGACUUUCUGGGUGGAAGUGCAGGCAUUCGCAGUGCUCCUUCCAAGCAUACAGACCGAUUGGAGGGAUGUGGGUUCCCACAUACCGUAUCCUGCUGGGUCCGUGGCAAAAAUGCAUGUGGGAUUAAAUAAUUCACCAAAACAUUUGGGAAAUUAAACGACCUGGUAUGCCUAACCGAUUUGUAGUCAGUGCUCCUGGAAUAACCCCCGACAUUUAAAUAAAAAUAGGGAAUCAAUGGACACUUUGGCCUUUAGAACCCCUACAGCUUCAGCGUGUACAAAAACUGAAGCCUGGGGAAGUUGUCACUGUUCAUGACAACGUUUGUUGGAAGGGUAUGGGACAAAAAAUGACCCUACAGAACACCUGCUUUUCCAAGCUAAUAAUAGCCGCAUGUAUGUUGUAAGAGAAAACUUCAAUAGGCCUCAUAUUUCUCCCAGGCCUCUAUUUAUCCAAGGUAAGCUAACUGCAUAAGUGAGUAGGAGGGUUGGAGAAGGGGGAGAAGAAAGAAACUUGCCAAAGAAGAAGGAGUGUUAGAAAAGCCAGUAACCGCAAGAGGACAACCUGUGAAUAACAGGAAAAGCUUCUUUUGCUAUAUUCUUAAUAAGGCUUGUUUUUGAUAAACUUCUAAGUUACUAAUAAGGUUUGGAAAAGUGGGUGUGUAACUGUUUGUGGUUUUAAGCUUUAAGGUUCCUCGGAGAGCUACCAGCAUAUGCUUGAAAUAAAGAAGCCUCAGGCUGAUCUGAUU
Long non-coding RNA from Mauremys mutica (yellowpond turtle), 4932 nucleotides. RefSeq lists it as uncharacterized. The transcript is spliced from 3 exons. The record is from RefSeq and is a predicted model, not a curated record. Lineage: Eukaryota; Metazoa; Chordata; Testudines; Geoemydidae.